Molecule: ribosomal RNA, 1043 nt
Filed under: Campylobacter coli
Lineage: Bacteria; Pseudomonadati; Campylobacterota; Epsilonproteobacteria; Campylobacterales; Campylobacteraceae
Description: partial 23S ribosomal RNA
Rfam family: Bacterial large subunit ribosomal RNA
Source: RNAcentral
AAAAAAGGUAAGCUACUAAGAGCGAAUGGUGGAUGCCUUGACUGGUAAAGGCGAUGAAGGACGUACUAGACUGCGAUAAGCUACGGGGAGCUGUCAAGAAGCUUUGAUCCGUAGAUUUCCGAAUGGGGCAACCCAAUGUAUAGAGAUAUACAUUACCUAUAUAGGAGCGAACGAGGGGAAUUGAAACAUCUUAGUACCCUCAGGAAAAGAAAUCAAUAGAGAUUGCGUCAGUAGCGGCGAGCGAAAGCGCAAGAGGGCAAACCCAGUGCUUGCACUGGGGGUUGUAGGACUGCAAUGUGCAAGAGGUGAGUUUAGCAGAACAUUCUGGAAAGUAUAGCCAUAGAGGGUGAUAGUCCCGUAUGCGAAAAACAAACCUUAGCUAGCAGUAUCCUGAGUAGGGCGGGACACGAGAAAUCCUGUCUGAAGCUGGGUCGACCACGAUCCAACCCUAAAUACUAAUACCAGAUCGAUAGUGCACAAGUACCGUGAGGGAAAGGUGAAAAGAACUGAGGUGAUCAGAGUGAAAUAGAACCUGAAACCAUUUGCUUACAAUCAUUCAGAGCCCUAUGUAGCAAUACAGGGUGAUGGACUGCCUUUUGCAUAAUGAGCCUGCGAGUUGUGGUGUCUGGCAAGGUUAAGCAAACGCGAAGCCGUAGCGAAAGCGAGUCUGAAUAGGGCGCUUAGUCAGAUGCUGCAGACCCGAAACGAAGUGAUCUAUCCAUGAGCAAGUUGAAGCUAGUGUAAGAACUAGUGGAGGACUGAACCCAUAGGCGUUGAAAAGCCCCGGGAUGACUUGUGGAUAGGGGUGAAAGGCCAAUCAAACUUCGUGAUAGCUGGUUCUCUCCGAAAUAUAUUUAGGUAUAGCGUUGUGUCGUAAUAUAAGGGGGUAGAGCACUGAAUGGGCUAGGGCAUACACCAAUGUACCAAACCCUAUCAAACUCCGAAUACCUUAUAUGUAAUCACAGCAGUCAGGCGGCGAGUGAUAAAAUCCGUCGUCAAGAGGGAAACAACCCAGACUACCAGCUAAGGUCCCUAAAUCUUAC